RNAcentral lists this ribosomal RNA (497 nucleotides) under uncultured bacterium. RNAcentral's name for it is "partial 16S ribosomal RNA". It matches the Rfam family "Bacterial small subunit ribosomal RNA", at positions 28 to 507 of the family's 1533-position model. The record is from RNAcentral.
GAUGAACGCUGGCGGCGUGCCUAAUACAUGCAAGUAGAACGCUGAAGGAAGGAGCUUGCUCUUUCCGGAUGAGUUGCGAACGGGUGAGUAACGCGUAGGUAACCUGCCUGGUAGCGGGGGAUAACUAUUGGAAACGAUAGCUAAUACCGCAUAACAGUAGAUGUUGCAUGAUAUCUACUUAAAAGGUGCAAUUGCACCACUACCAGAUGGACCUGCGUUGUAUUAGCUAGUUGGUGAGGUAACGGCUCACCAAGGCGAGGAUACAUAGCCGACCUGAGAGGGUGAUCGGCCACACUGGGACUGAGACACGGCCCAGACUCCUACGGGAGGCAGCAGUAGGGAAUCUUCGGCAAUGGACGGAAGUCUGACCGAGCAACGCCGCGUGAGUGAAGAAGGUUUUCGGAUCGUAAAGCUCUGUUGUAAGAGAAGAACGAGUGUGAGAGUGGAAAGUUCACACUGUGACGGUAUCUUACCAGAAAGGGACGGCUAACUACGUG